CCUACGGGUGGCAGCAGUGAGGAAUAUUGGUCAAUGGACGCAAGUCUGAACCAGCCAUGCCGCGUGCAGGAAGACGGCUCUAUGAGUUGUAAACUGCUUUUGUACGAGGGUAAACGCAGAUACGCGUAUCUGUCUGAAAGUAUCGUACGAAUAAGGAUCGGCUAACUCCGUGCCAGCAGCCGCGGUAAUACGGAGGAUUCAAGCGUUAUCCGGAUUUAUUGGGUUUAAAGGGUGCGUAGGCGGUCGGAUAAGUUAGAGGUGAAAUCCCGAGGCUCAACUUCAGAAUUGCCACUGAUACUGGUCGGCGUGAGAAUAGUUGAGGUAGGCGGAAUGUGUGGUGUAGCGGUGAAAUGCUUAGAGAUCAUGAAGAACGCCGAUUGAGAAGGCAGCGUACGAAACUGCUACUGACAUUGAGGCACGAAAGUGUGGGGAGCAAACAGGAUGAGAUACCCUAGUAGUC
RNAcentral lists this ribosomal RNA (460 nucleotides) under uncultured bacterium. RNAcentral's name for it is "partial 16S ribosomal RNA". It matches the Rfam family "Bacterial small subunit ribosomal RNA", at positions 338 to 795 of the family's 1533-position model. The record is from RNAcentral.